AACGACUCUCGGCAACGGAUAUCUCGGCUCUCGCAUCGAUGAAGAACGUAGCGAAAUGCGAUACUUGGUGUGAAUUGCAGAAUCCCGUGAACCAUCGAGUCUUUGAACGCAAGUUGCGCCCGAAGCCAUUAGGCCGAGGGCACGUCUGCCUGGGCGUCACACAUCGCGUCGCCCCCCAACCCAUCACUCCCUUGCGGGAGUUGAGGCGGA
Molecule: ribosomal RNA, 210 nt
Filed under: Panax assamicus
Lineage: Eukaryota; Viridiplantae; Streptophyta; Magnoliopsida; Apiales; Araliaceae
Description: 5.8S ribosomal RNA
Rfam family: 5.8S ribosomal RNA (bases 4-159)
About the family: 5.8S ribosomal RNA (5.8S rRNA) is a component of the large subunit of the eukaryotic ribosome. It is transcribed by RNA polymerase I as part of the 45S precursor that also contains 18S and 28S rRNA.
Source: RNAcentral